UACGGGGGGGGCAAGCGUUGUUCGGAAUUACUGGGCGUAAAGGGCUCGUAGGUGGCCAACUAGGUCAGACGUGAAAUCCCUCGGCUUAACCGGGGAACUGCGUCUGAUACUGGAUGGCUUGGAUUCGGGAGAGGAAUGCGGAAUUCCAGGUGUAGCGGUGAAAUGCGUAGAUAUCUGGAGGAACACCGGUGGCGAAGGCGGCAUUCUGGACCGAUAUUGACGCUGAGGAGCGAAAGCCAGGGGAGCAAACGGG
Molecule: ribosomal RNA, 253 nt
Filed under: uncultured bacterium
Lineage: Bacteria
Description: partial 16S ribosomal RNA
Rfam family: Bacterial small subunit ribosomal RNA
Source: RNAcentral